Molecule: unclassified non-coding RNA, 210 nt
Filed under: Hevea brasiliensis (rubber tree)
Lineage: Eukaryota; Viridiplantae; Streptophyta; Magnoliopsida; Malpighiales; Euphorbiaceae
Source: RNAcentral
GCAGUUCUAUUAUACAAUGACCUAGGAAUGAAUAGUAUUUAUAUUUGAUUGUUAUCUUCACUCUCUUCUAUCAUUGUAUCUACUAAUAUUCUCUUUGCCUUCAUCUAUAACUAACCAGAUUUAACAUGCAUUUUAACACCACCUGUGAGUAGUUGGUGAAUAGAAAUCAAGUGGUUGCAAAGAGCAAUCAAAUUUGAAAAUUAAAAAGGC